This is a long non-coding RNA of Macaca mulatta (Rhesus monkey), 680 nucleotides long. RefSeq lists it as uncharacterized. The record is from RefSeq and is a predicted model, not a curated record. NCBI's taxonomy places the organism in Eukaryota, Metazoa, Chordata, Mammalia, Primates, Cercopithecidae.
UCAAGCUCGGGCAUCUGGAACCAGCAUUCCUAACUGCUAAGUUAUCUUGCCUGUUCAUCUGAAAAUCAACUAAAAUAAUGGAUUUGGAAAAAAAAAAAAAAGCAGCUCUAAACAAAUGAAAUGAACGAUUGCAACUAAAACUUUCUCAGCCAUAUCCUUUUAUGACUCUCGUGUGUUGAGAGGAUUUUUAGCAAAAACAGAGAUGGGCUGCAUGUUCAGCCCAAUCACUGAAAGCCCCUUACAAAUGAGUUGAACUUUGUCUAAAAGGAUAUUAGAUUCUGUUACCUAAUUACUGCUUGUCUUUUAGAGUCAUCAUGAGGAAGACCAUUGUCAAGAACUUGGGAGGUUUCAGAUGCAGUGGAUUAUAAGACGCACUGGAACAGCUGAUACACUGAGGGACCUCCCACCUGAAUAGGACGAUUGAACUUUGCUUUGGUGAGGGAUGACUUGCCGGAAGAUGAAAAGCUUUGCGGUGGAACACUAGUGGUGCUCUUCACAGCUCCCAAGGCAUUGCUGGUGCAGCAUGGGGGAGAUGGUGUGGUACAGGUGAGGAGUGAUGACACAACAGACAUCUUGGAGGAGGCAAAGCUUGAGACAGAUCUUCAAGGAUUGGUACUAUCUGGACAGGUUGAAGAGGAGUAGCAGGGCUUUCAGAUGUGGAGAACGGCAUGCACAAAAGC